Salvelinus namaycush (lake trout) is the source of this 631-nucleotide long non-coding RNA. RefSeq lists it as uncharacterized. The record is from RefSeq and is a predicted model, not a curated record. Lineage: Eukaryota; Metazoa; Chordata; Actinopteri; Salmoniformes; Salmonidae. The transcript is spliced from 3 exons.
UUGUUGAGCACAAGGCAGCCUUGACAGCAGGCAGAGCUGCUCAGUGGAUGAGCUGCUCAAUACUAACAACAUUGUGCGGCCAUGGGAGAGACUUGGCACCAGCAACAGCCAUCUCGCCAUCAAAAAGGCAAUCUUCGACAGACUGAUGUUGGUGAACAGACUGCAGGAGGAAGAAAGGAUCCUGGUGCAGGAGAUGAAGAGCCACUGGGAAGCCUACAAAGAGCAGCCGGGAACUCUGGAGGCACUGUCCCUACAGCUGCAAGAUCAGAGUAAUGCAGUGGAGGGAGGAAUGGCCUUCUCUGCCUUCUGAAGAGAAGAUUGAGUGAACUGACACAAGACCAAGGAAACACCAGGAACACCUACCAAAAGCUGGUCCUAUUGCUGAGAGCUCAGAUGACAACUGCUAUGCUUUCUGAAAUCAUUCACCACCCCUGCCUCUUUUUCACCUCCCUCGGGAGCAGCCUGGUCUCCUGACCUUGACCCCUGACCCCUCACCUUCUGAACCCAUCCAGAGAAAUAUAAUUUGCCUGAUGAGGCGCUAGUGGAGAAGCAAUGUCUUAUUUCACUGCAUUUGUUGCCAAGUUUCCUCUCCUCACCUCCUCUCCUCCCGUUUCUUCCGGUCGUAGACUAU